This 344-nucleotide unclassified non-coding RNA is filed under the name soil metagenome. RNAcentral's name for it is "partial contains 5.8S ribosomal RNA, internal transcribed spacer 2, and large subunit ribosomal RNA". The stretch from base 1 to 119 matches the Rfam family "5.8S ribosomal RNA", at positions 36 to 154 of the family's 154-position model. The record is from RNAcentral.
AUGAAGAACGUAGCGAAAUGCGAUAAGUAAUGUGAAUUGCAGAAUUCAGUGAAUCAUCGAAUCUUUGAACGCACAUUGCGCCCCCUGGUAUUCCGGGGGGCAUGCCUGUCCGAGCGUCAUUGCUGCCCUCAAGCACGGCUUGUGUGUUGGGCCUCCGUCCUCCUCCCGGGGGACGGGCCCGAAAGGCAGCGGCGGCACCGCGUCCGGUCCUCGAGCGUAUGGGGCUUCGUCACCCGCUCUUGUAGGCCCGGCCGGCGCUUGCCGACACAUCAAUCUUUUUUCCAGGUUGACCUCGGAUCAGGUAGGGAUACCCGCUGAACUUAAGCAUAUCAAUAAGCGGAGGA